CCUACGGGAGGCAGCAGUGGGGAAUAUUGGACAAUGGGCGCAAGCCUGAUCCAGCCAUACCGCGUGGGUGAAGAAGGCCUUCGGGUUGUAAAGCCCUUUUGUUGGGAAAGAAAUCCAGCUGGUUAAUACCCGGUUGGGAUGACGGUACCCAAAGAAUAAGCACCGGCUAACUUCGUGCCAGCAGCCGCGGUAAU
RNAcentral lists this ribosomal RNA (194 nucleotides) under uncultured bacterium. Its description in RNAcentral is "partial 16S ribosomal RNA". It matches the Rfam family "Bacterial small subunit ribosomal RNA", at positions 338 to 524 of the family's 1533-position model. The record is from RNAcentral. RNAcentral also lists the same sequence under 2 other names.